CCCUACGGGGGGCAGCAGUGGGGAAUAUUGCACAAUGGGGGAAACCCUGAUGCAGCGACGCCGCGUGAGUGAAGAAGUAUUUCGGUACGUAAAGCUCUAUCAGCAGGGAAGAAAAAAAGUCCUUUGGACUUUGGACGGUACCUGACCAAGAAGCCCCGGCUAACUACGUGCCAGCAGCCGCGGUAAUACGUAGGGGGCAAGCGUUAUCCGGAUUUACUGGGUGUAAAGGGAGCGUAGACGGCGAUGCAAGUCUGAAGUGAAAGGCGGGGGCCCAACCCCCGGACUGCUUUGGAAACUGGAUGGCG
RNAcentral lists this ribosomal RNA (305 nucleotides) under uncultured bacterium. RNAcentral's name for it is "partial 16S ribosomal RNA". It matches the Rfam family "Bacterial small subunit ribosomal RNA", at positions 337 to 642 of the family's 1533-position model. The record is from RNAcentral.